AUCAACCUUCGAUGGUAGGAUAGAGGCCUACCAUGGUGGUAACGGGUAACGGGGUGUUAGGGCACGACACCGGAGAGGGAGCCUGAGAAACGGCUACCACAUCCAAGGAAGGCAGCAGGCGCGCAAAUUACCCAAUCCCGACACGGGGAGGUAGUGACAAUAAAUAACAAUACAGGGUUCUUUCGGAUCUUGUAAUUGGAAUGAGUACAAUUUAAAUCUCUUAACGAGGAACAAUUGGAGGGCAAGUCUGGUGCCAGCAGCCGCGGUAAUUCCAGCUCCAAUAGCGUAUAUUAAAGUUGUUGCAGUUAAAAAGCUCGUAGUUGAAUUUCGGGAUCAAUGUUUCGGUCAUGCCGUUGGUAUGUACUGAUAUUAUUGGUUUCUCACCUUCUAGAGAACCGUAAUGCCAUUAAUUUGGUGUCACGGGGAAUUAGGACUGUUACCUUGAAAAAAUUAGAGUGUUUAAAGCAGGCUCACGCUUGAAUACAUUAGCAUGGAAUAAUGAAAUAGGACAUCCGAUUCUAUUUUGUUGGUUUCUAGGAUCGAUGUAAUGAUUAAUAGGGAUAGUUGGGGGCAUUAGUAUUCAAUUGUCAGAGGUGAAAUUCUUGGAUUUAUUGAAGACUAACUACUGCGAAAGCAUUUGCCAAGGAUGUUUUCAUUAAUCAAGAACGAAAGUUAGGGGAUCGAAGACGAUCAGAUACCGUCGUAGUCUUAACCAUAAACUAUGCCGACUAGGGAUCGGAUGAUGUUAAUUUUUUAAUGACUCAUUCGGCGCCUUACGGGAAACCAAAGUGUUUGGGUUC
This 800-nucleotide ribosomal RNA is filed under the name uncultured Funneliformis. Its description in RNAcentral is "SSU rRNA". It matches the Rfam family "Eukaryotic small subunit ribosomal RNA", at positions 314 to 1114 of the family's 1831-position model. The record is from RNAcentral. Lineage: Eukaryota; Fungi; Glomeromycota; Glomeromycetes; Glomerales; Glomeraceae.